Molecule: non-coding RNA, 417 nt
Organism: Mus caroli (Ryukyu mouse)
Lineage: Eukaryota; Metazoa; Chordata; Mammalia; Rodentia; Muridae
Source: RefSeq, a predicted model, not a curated record
CGGGCUCCUGCGGUGCGCGCUGUCCCUAGAGCCGCAGCCCCCAGCAGGAAAAUGGCGAAGCGCGGAGGGCAGCUCUGCGUGGGGAGCGCACCGGGCGCUCUUGGCCCCCGGAGCCCCGCGCCACUGCCGCUGCUACUGCUGCUGGCUGGACUGGCGCUGGUAGGCGAGGCGCGCACUCCCGGGGGCGAUGGCUUCAGCCUGCACCCGCCCUACUUCAACCUGGCGGAGGGCGCUCGCAUCACCGCGUCCGCGACCUGCGGCGAGGAGGCCCCGACGCGCAGUGUCUCACGCCCCACCGAGGACCUCUACUGCAAGCUGGUUGGGGGUCCGGUGGCUGGCGGAGAUCCCAAUCAGACAAUCCAGGUGAGCGCGGCACGGAGGAGCUGGUUACACCAUCCUGUGGUGUUCCACCUCUAG